Molecule: unclassified non-coding RNA, 185 nt
Filed under: soil metagenome
Description: partial internal transcribed spacer 1
Source: RNAcentral
CCGAGUUUUACAAAACUCCCCAAAACCCUUUGUGAAACCUUACCGUAUCGUUUGCUUUCGGCGGGGACCCGCCCCCGGCGCCCUCGGGCCCGGAAACCAGGCCGCCCGCCGGAGGCCCCCAAAACCCUCAUGUCUUUUAGUGGUUUUUUCUCCUCUGAGUGGACACAUAAAACAAAUAAAUAAAA